Molecule: ribosomal RNA, 462 nt
Filed under: uncultured bacterium
Lineage: Bacteria
Description: partial 16S ribosomal RNA
Rfam family: Bacterial small subunit ribosomal RNA
Source: RNAcentral
GACGAACGCUGGCGGCGUGCUUAACACAUGCAAGUCGAACGGAAAGGCCCUUCGGGGUACUCGAGUGGCGAACGGGUGAGUAACACGUGGGUGAUCUGCCCUGCACUUUGGGAUAAGCCUGGGAAACUGGGUCUAAUACCGGAUAGGACCACGGCAUUCAUUUGCUGUGGUGGAAAGCUUUUGCGGUGUGUGAUGGGCCCGCGGCCUAUCAGCUUGUUGGUGGGGUAAUGGCCUACCAAGGCGACGACGGGUAGCCGGCCUGAGAGGGUGACCGGCCACAAUGCGACUGAGAUACGGCCCAGACUCCUACGGGAGGCAGUAGUGGGGAAUAUUGCACAAUGGGCGCAAGCCUGAUGCAGCGACGCCGCGUGAGGGAUGACGGUCUUCGGGUUGUAAACAUCUUUCGCCAGGGACGAAGCGCAAGUGACGGUACCUGGAGAAGAAGGACCGGCCAACUACGUG